AACGUAGGUACCGAGCGUUAUCCGGAUUUACUGGGCGUAAAGCGCGUUCAGGCGGUUUGGCAAGUCGGGCAUGAAAUCUCUCGGCUCAACCGGGAGAGGUUGUCCGAUACUUCCAGACUUGAGGGCAGUAGAGGGUGGUGGAAUUCCGGGUGUAGUGGUGAAAUGCGUAGAUAUCCGGAGGAGCACCAGUGGCGAAAGCGGCCACCUGGACUGCACCUGACGCUGACACGCGAAAGCUAGGGGAGCGAACGGG
This 253-nucleotide ribosomal RNA is filed under the name uncultured bacterium. Its description in RNAcentral is "partial 16S ribosomal RNA". It matches the Rfam family "Bacterial small subunit ribosomal RNA", at positions 524 to 776 of the family's 1533-position model. The record is from RNAcentral.